GCUUACGGCCAUACCAGCCUGGGUACGCCCGAUCUCGUCUGAUCUCGGAAGCUAAGCAGGGUUGGGCCAGGUUAGUACUUGGAUGGGAGACCGCCUGGGAAUACCAGGUGCUGUAAGCA
This 119-nucleotide ribosomal RNA is filed under the name Salmo salar (Atlantic salmon). Lineage: Eukaryota; Metazoa; Chordata; Actinopteri; Salmoniformes; Salmonidae. The record is from RNAcentral.